UGAUAUAUAAAUCUUUCAUUUACAACCACAAAAUGGUGAGUAAUGUUGAGAAGGAAGAAGAAAGGAAGAUUAUGAGGAAGAAGAGGAGGAAGAAGAGGAGGAGUAGGAUUUAAAUGAAGGAAAAUAACAGGGACAAAGUUUUAAAUCAUAUUAUUCGUUAUUUCUUUCUUUAUUCAGUAUUUCCUUAUUCCUUUCUUUAUUUUCGUUUACUUCCUCCUCUUAUCCCUUUUCUGCCAGAGGAGGAAGGGGAAGAGAGGAGGAUGAGGGUGAGGAAGACGAGGAAGAGGAAGAGGAUUAAAUUUCUUGCAUUUUUCUUAGACAGUCCUCAGGAUGUCAACAUUGUAUAUUGGUACAGUGUUGAGACAGGGACGGUCGCGUUAUAAUUCACUAAUUGAGGUUACUUUUGAUAAAUAAACAACUAGUACGGAGUCUUUUAAGUAUUUUAGACUAUCUUAUACCGGAAAAUAUUAAGGAAAAGUGGCGUAAAUAAGAAAAAAAGGCAAAGAUUAGAGAUGUGGGAUUUUAUAACUUGUGGUAUCUUAAAAUACUAGUAUAAGAUAAACCCUAUGCAAAACGAAUAAUAUAACCUUUAUUAAUCAUCAUAACCUAGAAAACCGAUAAAUAUAUAUAUAAAAACCAGUGUAAUUAGUAAAAAACAAAAAAACUGUCCCUUGGAAGUGAGACGGCCCACAGAGUCGCGCCAAAAACGUGGAUCUACAGGCCAGGCAUCUUAUGUUUAACCAGGUGUACAAGGUGCUGGCUUUCAAGGGCCCCUCCACACCUACAGACACACGCACACACCACCAGAUACAGGAAGCUGUGGACCUCUGGGUAUGGACGCUGUGGGCAGCUUGGUCGCGGCACGGCAGAUAACUGCCCCAUUCCUCGCACUGUGCUUGACCUGUGUGGCUCAGAGGUCGGCCAGGUCGCCUGUGGGAGAGGUCAUACCCUGGUCUACAUCCCCUUGCAGGGCCACGUGUAUGCAUUUGACCAGGGGCUCUGAGGGCAGCUGGGCACCAAGACUCCACACAGCAGGGAAUUACCUCAAGGGGUAGUGUGCCCAUGGGUGUCCCCAGGGGGUGCCAGCGGAGGACAGCCUCACUGUGUGUUUGAGGCAGGUCUUCGCAGGGGGUGACGUCAGCAUGGCCACCGUCAGCAGGGAGAGUGGGGGUGCUGAGGACUUUUGCAGCCCUCCCCUACCCCGACCAGAUGCCCCUCUCUCUCACAACUCAAGAACAUAUGAUUAAGAAACUUCUGUCAAUUGAGGACGAUUUGUUUAUGUACACAGAGACAGUGUUUGCCUCAGUGUGCGCUUGGAACAGCUCCCUCACGCUUGCUGGCUUGCACAAACACACACAUGGGCUGGACUACCGUUUGGCUGAGGACUGUGUGGCUCAGAUUGGCCGGAUUGCAAGGGAGACCAUCCAGGAAGUGGCGAGUUCGUACUGGCAUUCAAAACGUGGCCAAGAGUCUUCCUUCGCAUCCCCCAGCCAGGACGCCUUACGCUGUUAUGUCCUUCCCCUGUACAAGGACUUCACUGACCCUAAACAAACGGCCAAACUCCAAACGCCGUAUGCUGAGGGAGUGUUGAAGCUUGGCAAGGAGAUGGCGGAGGUGUUCAAGACCGGCGUGCCCUUGUGUCUUCCCUGCGGCUGUUGUCCCUGGUCCACGGUCUGAACUUCCAAGCCGGCUGCCGAGUGGGGCGGUUGAACUGCGACGACUUUUACAUCCCAGAAAUUGCAGAGAAAAUUGAUAUUAGGAAUGAUUACUUGAACUGGAUGAACAGCAGGCUUCACCCGAUGUCCAGGAGGGAGAGUCCAAUCCUGUUCUGUGAGUAUCCAUUCUUGUUCGAUCCUCAGGCCAAGACGCUGCUGCUCAGGUGUGACGCCACUCGGCAGGGCGAAUGUUUCCCAGACCACCCGGUCAUACGCACGUUCUGGGAAGUAUUUCAAACUCUCCCUGGAGCAGAAGAAGUGGUUUUUGAAGUUCCUGACGGGCACUGACAGGGUUCCUAUUCUGGGCAUGAAGG
Scylla paramamosain (green mud crab) is the source of this 2029-nucleotide RNA transcript. It is a transcript of the gene named probable E3 ubiquitin-protein ligase HERC4, with no coding region annotated. The transcript has 9 exons. The record is from RefSeq and is a predicted model, not a curated record. Lineage: Eukaryota; Metazoa; Arthropoda; Malacostraca; Decapoda; Portunidae.